AUUGCAGGCUGCAACUCGCCUACAUGAAGCUGGAGUUGCUAGUAAUCGCGAAUCAGCAUGUCGCGGUGAAUACGUUCCCGGGCCUUGUACACACCGCCCGUCACACCAUGAGAGUUGGCAAUACCCAACGUACGUGAUCUAACCCGCAAGGGAGGAAGCGUCCUAAGGUAGGGUCAGCGAUUGGGGUGAAGUCGUAACAAGGUAAC
RNAcentral lists this ribosomal RNA (206 nucleotides) under uncultured bacterium. RNAcentral's name for it is "partial 16S ribosomal RNA". It matches the Rfam family "Bacterial small subunit ribosomal RNA", at positions 1297 to 1500 of the family's 1533-position model. The record is from RNAcentral.